GGGCGCGUAGCUCAGUGGAUAGAGCAACGGAUUUCUAAUCCGUUGGUCGCAGGUUCGAAUCCUGCCGCGCUCG
Molecule: transfer RNA, 73 nt
Filed under: Scytonema hofmannii PCC 7110
Lineage: Bacteria; Bacillati; Cyanobacteriota; Cyanophyceae; Nostocales; Scytonemataceae
Description: Scytonema hofmanni PCC 7110 tRNA
Rfam family: tRNA
About the family: Transfer RNA (tRNA) molecules are approximately 80 nucleotides in length. Their secondary structure includes four short double-helical elements and three loops (D, anti-codon, and T loops).
Source: Rfam by way of RNAcentral